RNAcentral lists this ribosomal RNA (209 nucleotides) under uncultured bacterium. RNAcentral describes it as "partial 16S ribosomal RNA". It matches the Rfam family "Bacterial small subunit ribosomal RNA", at positions 568 to 775 of the family's 1533-position model. The record is from RNAcentral.
UGCGCAGGCGGUUGGGUGUGUCAGAUGUGAAAUCCCGAGGCUCAACCUCGGAACUGCGUCUGAAACUACUCGACUAGAGUACUGGAGAGGGUAACGGAAUUCACGGUGUAGCAGUGAAAUGCGUAGAUAUCGUGAGGAACACCAGAGGCGAAGGCGGUUACCUGGACAGUUACUGACGCUCAGGCACGAAAGCAUGGGGGAGACAAAAG